This 2903-nucleotide ribosomal RNA is filed under the name Escherichia coli 4_1_47FAA. RNAcentral's name for it is "bacterial LSU rRNA". It matches the Rfam family "Bacterial large subunit ribosomal RNA". Lineage: Bacteria; Pseudomonadati; Pseudomonadota; Gammaproteobacteria; Enterobacterales; Enterobacteriaceae. The record is from RNAcentral.
UUAAGCGACUAAGCGUACACGGUGGAUGCCCUGGCAGUCAGAGGCGAUGAAGGACGUGCUAAUCUGCGAUAAGCGUCGGUAAGGUGAUAUGAACCGUUAUAACCGGCGAUUUCCGAAUGGGGAAACCCAGUGUGUUUCGACACACUAUCAUUAACUGAAUCCAUAGGUUAAUGAGGCGAACCGGGGGAACUGAAACAUCUAAGUACCCCGAGGAAAAGAAAUCAACCGAGAUUCCCCCAGUAGCGGCGAGCGAACGGGGAGGAGCCCAGAGCCUGAAUCAGUGUGUGUGUUAGUGGAAGCGUCUGGAAAGGCGCGCGAUACAGGGUGACAGCCCCGUACACAAAAAUGCACAUACUGUGAGCUCGAUGAGUAGGGCGGGACACGUGGUAUCCUGUCUGAAUAUGGGGGGACCAUCCUCCAAGGCUAAAUACUCCUGACUGACCGAUAGUGAACCAGUACCGUGAGGGAAAGGCGAAAAGAACCCCGGCGAGGGGAGUGAAAAAGAACCUGAAACCGUGUACGUACAAGCAGUGGGAGCCUCUUAAUGGGGUGACUGCGUACCUUUUGUAUAAUGGGUCAGCGACUUAUAUUCUGUAGCAAGGUUAACCGAAUAGGGGAGCCGAAGGGAAACCGAGUCUUAACUGGGCGUUAAGUUGCAGGGUAUAGACCCGAAACCCGGUGAUCUAGCCAUGGGCAGGUUGAAGGUUGGGUAACACUAACUGGAGGACCGAACCGACUAAUGUUGAAAAAUUAGCGGAUGACUUGUGGCUGGGGGUGAAAGGCCAAUCAAACCGGGAGAUAGCUGGUUCUCCCCGAAAGCUAUUUAGGUAGCGCCUCGUGAAUUCAUCUCCGGGGGUAGAGCACUGUUUCGGCAAGGGGGUCAUCCCGACUUACCAACCCGAUGCAAACUGCGAAUACCGGAGAAUGUUAUCACGGGAGACACACGGCGGGUGCUAACGUCCGUCGUGAAGAGGGAAACAACCCAGACCGCCAGCUAAGGUCCCAAAGUCAUGGUUAAGUGGGAAACGAUGUGGGAAGGCCCAGACAGCCAGGAUGUUGGCUUAGAAGCAGCCAUCAUUUAAAGAAAGCGUAAUAGCUCACUGGUCGAGUCGGCCUGCGCGGAAGAUGUAACGGGGCUAAACCAUGCACCGAAGCUGCGGCAGCGACGCUUAUGCGUUGUUGGGUAGGGGAGCGUUCUGUAAGCCUGUGAAGGUGUGCUGUGAGGUAUGCUGGAGGUAUCAGAAGUGCGAAUGCUGACAUAAGUAACGAUAAAGCGGGUGAAAAGCCCGCUCGCCGGAAGACCAAGGGUUCCUGUCCAACGUUAAUCGGGGCAGGGUGAGUCGACCCCUAAGGCGAGGCCGAAAGGCGUAGUCGAUGGGAAACAGGUUAAUAUUCCUGUACUUGGUGUUACUGCGAAGGGGGGACGGAGAAGGCUAUGUUGGCCGGGCGACGGUUGUCCCGGUUUAAGCGUGUAGGCUGGUUUUCCAGGCAAAUCCGGAAAAUCAAGGCUGAGGCGUGAUGACGAGGCACUACGGUGCUGAAGCAACAAAUGCCCUGCUUCCAGGAAAAGCCUCUAAGCAUCAGGUAACAUCAAAUCGUACCCCAAACCGACACAGGUGGUCAGGUAGAGAAUACCAAGGCGCUUGAGAGAACUCGGGUGAAGGAACUAGGCAAAAUGGUGCCGUAACUUCGGGAGAAGGCACGCUGAUAUGUAGGUGAAGCGACUUGCUCGUGGAGCUGAAAUCAGUCGAAGAUACCAGCUGGCUGCAACUGUUUAUUAAAAACACAGCACUGUGCAAACACGAAAGUGGACGUAUACGGUGUGACGCCUGCCCGGUGCCGGAAGGUUAAUUGAUGGGGUUAGCGGUAACGCGAAGCUCUUGAUCGAAGCCCCGGUAAACGGCGGCCGUAACUAUAACGGUCCUAAGGUAGCGAAAUUCCUUGUCGGGUAAGUUCCGACCUGCACGAAUGGCGUAAUGAUGGCCAGGCUGUCUCCACCCGAGACUCAGUGAAAUUGAACUCGCUGUGAAGAUGCAGUGUACCCGCGGCAAGACGGAAAGACCCCGUGAACCUUUACUAUAGCUUGACACUGAACAUUGAGCCUUGAUGUGUAGGAUAGGUGGGAGGCUUUGAAGUGUGGACGCCAGUCUGCAUGGAGCCGACCUUGAAAUACCACCCUUUAAUGUUUGAUGUUCUAACGUUGGCCCCUGAUCGGGGUUGCGGACAGUGUCUGGUGGGUAGUUUGACUGGGGCGGUCUCCUCCUAAAGAGUAACGGAGGAGCACGAAGGUUGGCUAAUCCUGGUCGGACAUCAGGAGGUUAGUGCAAUGGCAUAAGCCAGCUUGACUGCGAGCGUGACGGCGCGAGCAGGUGCGAAAGCAGGUCAUAGUGAUCCGGUGGUUCUGAAUGGAAGGGCCAUCGCUCAACGGAUAAAAGGUACUCCGGGGAUAACAGGCUGAUACCGCCCAAGAGUUCAUAUCGACGGCGGUGUUUGGCACCUCGAUGUCGGCUCAUCACAUCCUGGGGCUGAAGUAGGUCCCAAGGGUAUGGCUGUUCGCCAUUUAAAGUGGUACGCGAGCUGGGUUUAGAACGUCGUGAGACAGUUCGGUCCCUAUCUGCCGUGGGCGCUGGAGAACUGAGGGGGGCUGCUCCUAGUACGAGAGGACCGGAGUGGACGCAUCACUGGUGUUCGGGUUGUCAUGCCAAUGGCACUGCCCGGUAGCUAAAUGCGGAAGAGAUAAGUGCUGAAAGCAUCUAAGCACGAAACUUGCCCCGAGAUGAGUUCUCCCUGACUCCUUGAGAGUCCUGAAGGAACGUUGAAGACGACGACGUUGAUAGGCCGGGUGUGUAAGCGCAGCGAUGCGUUGAGCUAACCGGUACUAAUGAACCGUGAGGCUUAACCUU